AACCAUAGAAACCUGCGGAGUACCUGCGGAAGGAUCAUUACAGAGUUGCAAAACUCCCACAAACCAUCGCGAAUCUUACCCGUACGGUUGCCUCGGCGCUGGCGGUCCGGAAGGCCCUCGGGCCCCCGGACCCUCGGGUCUCCCGCUCGCGGGGGGCUGCCCGCCGGAGUGCCGAAACCAAACUCUUGAUAUUUUAUGUCUCUCUGAGUAAACUUUUAAAUAAGUCAAAACUUUCAACAA
Molecule: unclassified non-coding RNA, 240 nt
Filed under: soil metagenome
Description: partial contains 5.8S ribosomal RNA, internal transcribed spacer 2, and large subunit ribosomal RNA
Source: RNAcentral